RNAcentral lists this unclassified non-coding RNA (255 nucleotides) under fungal sp. Its description in RNAcentral is "partial internal transcribed spacer region". The stretch from base 1 to 46 matches the Rfam family "Eukaryotic small subunit ribosomal RNA", at positions 1786 to 1831 of the family's 1831-position model. Lineage: Eukaryota; Fungi. The record is from RNAcentral.
AAGUCGUAACAAGGUUUCCGUAGGUGAACCUGCGGAAGGAUCAUUACCAAAUUAUUAAUGUGUAGUGGAAUUUGUAGGAGUUUGUAACCAAGCUCCUAUGAAAUGGGGUAGGAAAUGUGACCUUGCUACUAGGUGUGGCCGAGUAUUUACUCGGCGUGCCCUGGGAACGAACGCGUUUCUUAUUCCUAAGAAAAACAACAACUACGAUUCAAUCACAAAUACAUACAACUUUUAACAAUGGAUCUCUAGGCUCUU